GUACUUCCCAGGUGCUGUAGCAAGAGCCAUGUGAUGAGACAGGAAAGAGAGAGCUGUGAAGGAACUGUGUGGUGAGGAAAAGCACCAAGCAGAAAUGGACAAUCUGCUAAAAGAAAAAACAGCGAUGGAAAACAGCAAAAUCCCGAGUGUGCUGGAAGUGAUGGAAGACCAGACUCUGCACUGGCACCUGUGCAUUUAUUAUUAUGAUCAUAACUCUGCAAUUCUCUGGCAUUAAUGCAGUUGGUUAUCUGCCCAUCUCCACACAAAACAACUCUUCAGUUCAAGCUUGCAGACACUGUAAAAUACAUUGUAUCUGGGUGGGAGUCAAGCAGUCAUGAGAUUUACUCCUGGCCAUCAACUGGCUGCUGAUUUGGUUUUGGAUAUUUUCACCCAUCCAUCUGUAACUCUUUUUGGAAAACUGGCAUUUAACAUCUACUGACCUAACAGAGCUUCACUGACCUGGCAAAGUGCUACAUAAAUGUAUCACGUCAUUUAAGAAGAAAAGUUUUGGAUUAUGGACAUUAUUUGGAUUAUGGACAUUAUUUUGCAAUAAGGGACAGACUGGCUUGCACAUGUCGACCUGCCCACAACAGUUCCUGUGCCCUCACACCUUCCCACAAGGUGCUGCCUGCAUCCAGGAUGAAAUCUUAUGCUUCUUUUUGCCACCACGCUCUCUUCCUCCGCCCCUACCAUGGCAGUGCAGCUUGCAGCUUCCCUAACAAUGGGGAAUCACUAAUGCCUGAGUGUCCUGUUUGAAAAUAUGGGCAGCAUGAGGCCAAAUGGAAUUGGCCUCAGCAGCAGCACAGCUGGAACCCUGCAGAGAGACUGUUCAUCCCUGUCACACAGCACCAUGUCUGGUUUAAAACAGGAGCCCUGGAUCCUCCUGUCCCUCUCUAUGAAGCCCAGCCAUGCUGACUGAUAUAGCUCCAGUGUCUCCUGCAAGAAUUCAGUCCUUCACAGGUUGCCUUGCUGGGCACCUCCUCUACUUCACGGCUUAAUGAACUUUUCCAUCUCAAGCAUUCAUCCUCCCAAACUGCACCAAUCCAACGUGCCAGACCUCAGGAGGCCUGUUCUCCCAAAUGCUCACUAUUGCUGCAUCUCUUGCAGUUACUGAUAAACCAGAUAGUCUAUGAUUAACCUGCCAAUAUUAAUGUUUGUGAGUUGUUUUAAUCCCAUGCCAAGGCCUCUCCUUCAUACUUCUGCAAGCAACAUCUCAAAUUAUUUUGACUACUCACCCUGCCUAUCUUGCCUUCAGGAAAGAAGGAAAUUUUAACUAUUUUAUUUCUGUUGCUGUUUCACACCUAAAGACUGGGUUUAGGCAGCUACAAAGCGAAACUUUGCCAUCACUGUCAUAAUUUUGUCAUCAUGUUCUAAGUCUUGCAAAA
Long non-coding RNA from Pipra filicauda (Wire-tailed manakin), 1385 nucleotides. RefSeq lists it as uncharacterized. The transcript has 3 exons. The record is from RefSeq and is a predicted model, not a curated record. NCBI's taxonomy places the organism in Eukaryota, Metazoa, Chordata, Aves, Passeriformes, Pipridae.